Molecule: ribosomal RNA, 1085 nt
Filed under: Neisseria sicca
Lineage: Bacteria; Pseudomonadati; Pseudomonadota; Betaproteobacteria; Neisseriales; Neisseriaceae
Description: bacterial SSU rRNA
Rfam family: Bacterial small subunit ribosomal RNA
Source: RNAcentral
GGCGAGUGGCGAACGGGUGAGUAACAUAUCGGAACGUACCGAGCAGUGGGGGAUAACUAAUCGAAAGAUUAGCUAAUACCGCAUAUAUUCUGAGGAAGAAAGCAGGGGACCAUUUGGCCUUGCGCUGUUUGAGCGGCCGAUAUCUGAUUAGCUAGUUGGUGGGGUAAAGGCCUACCAAGGCGACGAUCAGUAGCGGGUCUGAGAGGAUGAUCCGCCACACUGGGACUGAGACACGGCCCAGACUCCUACGGGAGGCAGCAGUGGGGAAUUUUGGACAAUGGGCGCAAGCCUGAUCCAGCCAUGCCGCGUGUCUGAAGAAGGCCUUCGGGUUGUAAAGGACUUUUGUCAGGGAAGAAAAGGAUAGGGUUAAUACCCCUGUCUGAUGACGGUACCUGAAGAAUAAGCACCGGCUAACUACGUGCCAGCAGCCGCGGUAAUACGUAGGGUGCGAGCGUUAAUCGGAAUUACUGGGCGUAAAGCGGGCGCAGACGGUUACUUAAGCAGGAUGUGAAAUCCCCGGGCUCAACCUGGGAACUGCGUUCUGAACUGGGUAACUAGAGUGUGUCAGAGGGAGGUAGAAUUCCACGUGUAGCAGUGAAAUGCGUAGAGAUGUGGAGGAAUACCGAUGGCGAAGGCAGCCUCCUGGGAUAACACUGACGUUCAUGCCCGAAAGCGUGGGUAGCAAACAGGAUUAGAUACCCUGGUAGUCCACGCCCUAAACGAUGUCGAUUAGCUGUUGGGCAGCUUGACUGCUUAGUAGCGAAGCUAACGCGUGAAAUCGACCGCCUGGGGAGUACGGUCGCAAGAUUAAAACUCAAAGGAAUUGACGGGGACCCGCACAAGCGGUGGAUGAUGUGGAUUAAUUCGAUGCAACGCGAAGAACCUUACCUGGUCUUGACAUGUACGGAACCCUCCAGAGACGGAGGGGUGCCUUCGGGAGCCGUAACACAGGUGCUGCAUGGCUGUCGUCAGCUCGUGUCGUGAGAUGUUGGGUUAAGUCCCGCAACGAGCGCAACCCUUGUCAUUAGUUGCCAUCAUUAAGUUGGGCACUCUAAUGAGACUGCCGGUGACAAGCCGGAGGAAGG